GACUGGAUUAUUAGGUUAAAAGUACAUGUGAAAAUUGGAAAGACGUCAAAACAUGAAUUGGCGGUGCAAUAGCAGAACAUACUAUGGAAAUGAGGAGUUGAAUUUUUUCUUUCCUAAUUUAUAGCUUUAAGUCGUGAAUAUAGGUUUGAACUCAGAACUAAGAUUAAUCACAGGGCGGCGGAUCAUCGUGUUAGAAAUGUUAAGAACUAUUUUCUCCUGCAUUUAAGGUUCAACUUUUCAUUUAAUUGCAACAGCAAUAAUAGAAUGGUUUAUGAGAUUGUUGGUCUUUAGGAUCCGUCGGUUCUGGUUAAGGAUAAAGCAUACUCAACCUUAUUUAUACCAGACAUGGAUUUCAAGAAGAUACAACUCAACACUAGAACAACUAUUGUGGUUGGAAUCUCCUUUCCUAGAUCUUAUUUGAUGAAAACGAAACGAUAACCCUUUUUUGCAGAAAUGAAAAAAAGCAAAAAACAGAAAAGAAUUAGUAGACCUUGUUAAGCAUUUACCUCCGCGGCUUCGUCAACUCCGAGCGAGGUACUAGCAGCAUAACUUUCGUGAACUUCAGAAGGUGAAAUUUCUACAGCAUCCACUCUUGUGAAUGCUGUCAAUCCUGGCACUAAAAUGGCUUCGUCAACUCCGAGCGAGGUACUAGCAGCAUAACUUUCAUGAACUUCAGAAGGUGAAAUUUCUACAGCAUCCACUGUUGUGAAUGCUGUCAAUCCCGGCACUAAAAUAGGAUCACCUUCGUGGAAAACCGGGUUUGCCUCGUCUUUUUUGCUAGUGGAACUCUUCAGAUUCACGGCACUGCCAUUAUUUCCAACGACAUUC
RNAcentral lists this long non-coding RNA (828 nucleotides) under Actinidia chinensis (golden kiwifruit). RNAcentral describes it as "long non-coding RNA (ACHI_LNC001591)". Lineage: Eukaryota; Viridiplantae; Streptophyta; Magnoliopsida; Ericales; Actinidiaceae. The record is from RNAcentral.